RNAcentral lists this ribosomal RNA (252 nucleotides) under uncultured bacterium. RNAcentral's name for it is "partial 16S ribosomal RNA". It matches the Rfam family "Bacterial small subunit ribosomal RNA", at positions 524 to 776 of the family's 1533-position model. The record is from RNAcentral.
UACGUAGGUCCCGAGCGUUGUCCGGAUUUAUUGGGCGUAAAGCGAGCGCAGGUGGUUUAUUAAGUCUGGUGUAAAAGGCAGUGGCUCAACCAUUGUAUGCAUUGGAAACUGGUAGACUUGAGUGCAGGAGAGGAGAGUGGAAUUCCAUGUGUAGCGGUGAAAUGCGUAGAUAUAUGGAGGAACACCGGUGGCGAAAGCGGCUCUCUGGCCUGUAACUGACACUGAGGCUCGAAAGCGUAGGGAACAAACAGG